GACGAACGCUGGCGGCGUGCUUAACACAUGCAAGUCGAACGGAAAGGCCCUGCUUUUGUGGGGUGCUCGAGUGGCGAACGGGUGAGUAACACGUGAGUAACCUGCCCUUGACUUUGGGAUAACUUCAGGAGACUGGGGCUAAUACCGGAUAGGAGCUCCUGCUGCAUGGUGGGGGUUGGAAAGUUUCGGCGGUUGGGGAUGGACUCGCGGCUUAUCAGCUUGUUGGUGGGGUAGUGGCUUACCAAGGCUUUGACGGGUAGCCGGCCUGAGAGGGUGACCGGCCACAUUGGGACUGAGAUACGGCCCAGACUCCUACGGGAGGCAGCAGUGGGGAAUAAUGCACAAUGGGCGGAAGCCUGAUGCAGCAACGCCGCGUGCGGGAUGACGGCCUUCGGGUUGUAAACCGCUUUCGCCUGUGACGAAGCGUGAGUGACGGUAAUGGGUAAAGAAGCACCGGCUAACUACGUG
This 468-nucleotide ribosomal RNA is filed under the name uncultured bacterium. RNAcentral's name for it is "partial 16S ribosomal RNA". It matches the Rfam family "Bacterial small subunit ribosomal RNA", at positions 28 to 507 of the family's 1533-position model. The record is from RNAcentral.